This 125-nucleotide ribosomal RNA is filed under the name Phaeophyscia exornatula. RNAcentral describes it as "partial 28S ribosomal RNA". It matches the Rfam family "Eukaryotic large subunit ribosomal RNA", at positions 1 to 124 of the family's 3401-position model. Lineage: Eukaryota; Fungi; Ascomycota; Lecanoromycetes; Caliciales; Physciaceae. The record is from RNAcentral.
UUGACCUCGGAUCAGGUAGGGAUACCCGCUGAACUUAAGCAUAUCAAUAAGCGGAGGAAAAGAAACCAACAGGGAUUGCCUCAGUAACGGCGAGUGAAGCGGCAACAGCUCAAAUUUGAAUACUG